RNAcentral lists this small nuclear RNA (353 nucleotides) under Saimiri boliviensis boliviensis (Bolivian squirrel monkey). RNAcentral's name for it is "7SK RNA (ENSSBOG00000013069.1)". The stretch from base 1 to 302 matches the Rfam family "7SK RNA". From Rfam's summary of the family: 7SK was discovered as an abundant small nuclear RNA in the mid-70s but a possible function has only recently been suggested. Two independent studies have found that 7SK RNA binds the CDK9/cyclin T complex (known as elongation factor P-TEFb). P-TEFb activates transcription by phosphorylating the C-terminal domain of RNA polymerase II. The record is from RNAcentral. Lineage: Eukaryota; Metazoa; Chordata; Mammalia; Primates; Cebidae.
GGAUAUGAGGGCAAUCUGGUUGCAGCAUCUGUCACCCCACUAAUUGCCAGAGUUGAUUCAGCUGAUCCAGCUUCCUAGACUGGUGUGACCUUCCUCCUUGCUCUGUGUGCAUCCCUCCCAAAGCUGUGUGCUUGGCCGAAGAGGAUGACCUUCCCUGACAGAGGAGGAACAUUCUUUGGUCAAGUAUAUAUGAGUAGCUGUGCUUUCCUCACAGAAUCCUCAAACAAGCUCUCAAGAUUUUGGAAAGCAGUAGAGAGGCAGCAGCCAUUUUUUUACACACAAGUUAAAAAGGCACUUUUAUAGAUCACUAGCUACUGCUUCACACCAUUGUCAUCGGGCAGCAGCCAGUCUUA